This 497-nucleotide ribosomal RNA is filed under the name uncultured bacterium. RNAcentral's name for it is "bacterial SSU rRNA". It matches the Rfam family "Bacterial small subunit ribosomal RNA", at positions 501 to 1000 of the family's 1533-position model. The record is from RNAcentral.
CUACGUGCCAGCAGCCGCGGUAAUACGUAGGUCCCGAGCGUUGUCCGGAUUUAUUGGGCGUAAAGCGAGCGCAGGCGGUUAGAUAAGUCUGAAGUUAAAGGCUGUGGCUUAACCAUAGUACGCUUUGGAAACUGUUUAACUUGAGUGCAAGAGGGGAGAGUGGAAUUCCAUGUGUAGCGGUGAAAUGCGUAGAUAUAUGGAGGAACACCGGUGGCGAAAGCGGCUCUCUGGUCUGUAACUGACGCUGAGGCUCGAAAGCGUGGGGAGCAAACAGGAUUAGAUACCCUGGUAGUCCACGCUGUAAACGAUGUCGAUUUGGGGGUUGAGCUUUAAGCUUGGCGCCCGUAGCUAACGUGAUAAAUCGACCGCCUGGGGAGUACGGCCGCAAGGUUAAAACUCAAAUGAAUUGACGGGGGCCCGCACAAGCGGUGGAGCAUGUGGUUUAAUUCGAUGCAACGCGAAGAACCUUACCUACUCUUGACAUCCAGAGAACAUUC